GACGAACGCUGGCGGCGUGCUUAACACAUGCAAGUCGAACGGAAAGGCCCUGCUUUUGUGGGGUGCUCGAGUGGCGAACGGGUGAGUAACACGUGAGUAACCUGCCCUUGACUUUGGGAUAACUUCAGGAAACUGGGGCUAAUACCGGAUAGGAGCUCCUGCUGCAUGGUGGGGGUUGGAAAGUUUCGGCGGUUGGGGAUGGACUCGCGGCUUAUCAGCUUGUUGGUGGGGUAGUGGCUUACCAAGGCUUUGACGGGUAGCCGGCCUAAGAGGGUGACCGGCCACAUUGGGACUGAGAUACGGCCCAGACUCCUACGGGAGGCAGCAGUGGGGAAUAUUGCACAAUGGGCGGAGGCCUGAUGCAGCAACGCCGCGUGCGGGAUGACGGCCUUCGGGUUGUAAACCGCUUUCGCCUGUGACGAAGCGUGAGUGACGGUAAUGGGUAAAGAAGCACCGGCUAACUACGUG
This 468-nucleotide ribosomal RNA is filed under the name uncultured bacterium. Its description in RNAcentral is "partial 16S ribosomal RNA". It matches the Rfam family "Bacterial small subunit ribosomal RNA", at positions 28 to 507 of the family's 1533-position model. The record is from RNAcentral.